UACGAAGGGGGCUAGCGUUGUUCGGAAUCACUGGGCGUAAAGCGCACGCAGGCGGAUCGAUAAGUCGGGGGUGAAAGCCCGGGGCUCAACCUCGGAAUUGCCUUCGAUACUGUCGGUCUCGAGUCCGGGAGAGGUGAGUGGAACUCCUAGUGUAGAGGUGAAAUUCGUAGAUAUUAGGAAGAACACCAGUGGCGAAGGCGGCUCACUGGCCCGGUACUGACGCUCAGGUGCGAAAGCGUGGGGAGCAAGGAGG
RNAcentral lists this ribosomal RNA (253 nucleotides) under uncultured bacterium. RNAcentral's name for it is "partial 16S ribosomal RNA". It matches the Rfam family "Bacterial small subunit ribosomal RNA", at positions 524 to 776 of the family's 1533-position model. The record is from RNAcentral.